AACCAACUAUCAAAGAAGGGGACAAAGAAUUUCAUCUUAAUUAAUUGAAGGCUGAGCUCAUAGGUGGGACCCAAGAGACUUCCAUUGUUUUAAGAAUUUGAAGUCUUUCCCAUUCUAUUCUUCAUAUUGGUUUUUCCAAAACCAAUUGAUACCCUUUUUGAAAAUCAUUCUGUGAUCACCACCACCACAUCAUCAUCCAUUUUCUCUGAGAAUUCCCACUUUACACCAUGAUUGUAGAGGACCAUGAGAUGCCUAACGGAUGGCCACUUGGACUCGGAAACAUGAACAUAAGACUUCAAGUGACUGAAAACUUACAGCCUGCUGCAGCAGCACCACGCCUUUCACAUUCACCUUCAUCCAGUUUCUCUUCAUUUUCAUCCUCCAACCUUGACACCGAGGCUUGACCAAUUCCCACUCACUAGUAAAUAUGUUGCUUCUAUGCGAGAUCUACCAGUCCACGGCAUCUUUCUUCCCAGACCAUAGCGUGUCAUUGGGCCGGCUAAUUGGAAUUCGAGAAAGGGAAGGGGGAGUCUUGUACUUUCCACACUCAAAUCGCGUUGAACAAGGUGAGAGCGUGACAGAGAGUUCAUGCUUGAAUGUCCCUGGGAAACAAGAAGAAGAAAUGUGUCGGGGAAUUUGUGUUCCUUUAUUCGCUAGCAUACUAGUGAAGAUGAACAGAAGUAAAAGCAGCUCGAGAGGGUGAAUCCUGACAAUGAGGGUAAAUAACAUAUUUGUUCAAGGCAUACCAGGGGAAUAAAAUGUCUGUGACAUGUAUCAAUUCUGUUGCAUAUAUGUUUCUAAAUGGAUGAUUCAUUGUGAUUAAAAUGUUUGUGACAUGUAUCAAUUCUGUUGCAUAUAUGUUUCUAAAUGAAUGAUUCAGUGUGAUUAAA
Long non-coding RNA from Camellia sinensis, 890 nucleotides. RefSeq lists it as uncharacterized. NCBI's taxonomy places the organism in Eukaryota, Viridiplantae, Streptophyta, Magnoliopsida, Ericales, Theaceae. The record is from RefSeq and is a predicted model, not a curated record.